GAAUUAAAAUUCCAUGCCCGAUAAUAAUGAUAUCAAUUUUGAUUUGGACGACGAUGAUUUAAUCAUACGUAUUCCAAAACGUUAUAUUCGAGAUGUGCAAGAUCCUUUUGAUUUUUGUUCAGACAUCGAAUUCAAGUAAAGAUAUAGAUUUGACAAGGAUAAUGUUAAAUUUGGAAUAUUACCUCUUAUAGAAUAAAAUUUAACUAAAGUCAAUAAACGAGGAUUACCAAUCCCACCAAUUUUUCAAUUAAUAAUAUGAUUGCGAUUUUAUGCAACUGCAAGUUUUCAGCUCAUUUUAGGUGAUACCAUGACAGUAUCACAACCAACAGUUUCCAGAAUAGUUUUUCGGGUGAGCGUUUUACUUGCAAGCGAAAUUCAUGAUUACAUUAAAAUGCCUCGAACUCAAGCAGCAAAAUUAGAAAACCAGAGACUUUUUGAACGUUUGGGAUUUGGUAAUGGAGCAAUUGGAAUACCCGGGGUUGAUGGAACAAUUGAUUGCACUCAUAUCCGAUUAGUUCAUACAAUGUUUCAAAAUAUUAAUGAAAUCUACAGAAAUCGAAAGGGCUAUUUUUCUCUGAAUGCGAUUGUUGGCUCA
This 595-nucleotide unclassified non-coding RNA is filed under the name Cotesia glomerata. RNAcentral's name for it is "putative nuclease HARBI1, transcript variant X2". Lineage: Eukaryota; Metazoa; Arthropoda; Insecta; Hymenoptera; Braconidae. The record is from RNAcentral.